CUACGGGCCGCACCAGUGAGGAAUUUUGCGCAAUGGGGGAAACCCUGACGCAGCAACGCCGCGUGAGCGAAGAAGGCCCUCGGGUCGUAAAGCUCUGUCAAGUGGGAAAAAAAUCUUUUGAUCAAUAGUCAAAAGACUUGAUGGUACCACUGGAGGAAGCACCGGCUAAUUCCGUGCCAGCAGCCGCGGUAAUACGGAGGGUGCAAGCGUUGUUCGGAUUUACUGGGCGUAAAGAGCGUGUAGGCGGUUUAGCAAGUCAGAUGUGAAAGCCCUGGGCUCAACCCGGGAAGUGCAUUUGAAACUGCUUCACUAGAGUAUGGGAGAGGAGAUUGGAAUUCCUGGUGUAGAGGUGAAAUUCGUAGAUAUCAGGAGGAACACCCGUGGCGAAGGCGAUUCUCUGGACCAAUACUGACGCUGAGACGCGAAAGCGUGGGGAGCAAACAGGAUUAGAUACCCGCGUAGUC
This 464-nucleotide ribosomal RNA is filed under the name uncultured bacterium. Its description in RNAcentral is "partial 16S ribosomal RNA". It matches the Rfam family "Bacterial small subunit ribosomal RNA", at positions 339 to 795 of the family's 1533-position model. The record is from RNAcentral.